CUCAGGACGAACGCUGGCGGCGUGCCUAAUACAUGCAAGUCGAACGCUUCUUUUUCCACCGGAGCUUGCUCCACCGGAAAAAGAAGAGUGGCGAACGGGGUGAGUAACACGUGGGUAACCUGCCCAUCAGAAGGGGAUAACACUUGGAAACAGGUGCUAAUACCGUAUAACAAUCAAAACCGCAUGGUUUUGAUUUGAAAGGCGCUUUCGGGUGUCGCUGAUGGAUGGACCCGCGGUGCAUUAGCUAGUUGGUGAGGUAACGGCUCACCAAGGCCACGAUGCAUAGCCGACCUGAGAGGGUGAUCGGCCACAUUGGGACUGAGACACGGCCCAAACUCCUACGGGAGGCAGCAGUAGGGAAUCUUCGGCAAUGGACGAAAGUCUGACCGAGCAACGCCGCGUGAGUGAAGAAGGUUUUCGGAUCGUAAAACUCUGUUGUUAGAGAAGAACAAGGAUGAGAGUAACUGUUCAUCCCUUGACGGUAUCUAACCAGAAAGCCACGGCUAACUACGUGCCAGCAGCCGCGGUAAUACGUAGGUGGCAAGCGUUGUCCGGAUUUAUUGGGCGUAAAGCGAGCGCAGGCGGUUUCUUAAGUCUGAUGUGAAAGCCCCCGGCUCAACCGGGGAGGGUCAUUGGAAACUGGGAGACUUGAGUGCAGAAGAGGAGAGUGGAAUUCCAUGUGUAGCGGUGAAAUGCGUAGAUAUAUGGAGGAACACCAGUGGCGAAGGCGGCUCUCUGGUCUGUAACUGACGCUGAGGCUCGAAAGCGUGGGGAGCAAACAGGAUUAGAUACCCUGGG
Molecule: ribosomal RNA, 798 nt
Filed under: Enterococcus faecium
Lineage: Bacteria; Bacillati; Bacillota; Bacilli; Lactobacillales; Enterococcaceae
Description: bacterial SSU rRNA
Rfam family: Bacterial small subunit ribosomal RNA
Source: RNAcentral